This 65-nucleotide small nucleolar RNA is filed under the name Lynx canadensis (Canada lynx). RNAcentral's name for it is "Small nucleolar RNA SNORD58 (ENSLCNG00005013302.1)". It matches the Rfam family "Small nucleolar RNA SNORD58". From Rfam's summary of the family: snoRNA U58 is found in introns 1, 3 and 6 of the ribosomal protein RPL17 gene in humans. U58 is a member of the C/D class of snoRNA which contain C (UGAUGA) and D (CUGA) box motifs. Most of the members of the box C/D family function in directing site-specific 2'-O-methylation of substrate RNAs. Lineage: Eukaryota; Metazoa; Chordata; Mammalia; Carnivora; Felidae. The record is from Rfam by way of RNAcentral.
CUGCAGUGAUGCGUUGCUUAGGACACCUUUGGAUUUACCAUGAAAACGAAUCAGUUCUGAGCAGU